RNAcentral lists this ribosomal RNA (304 nucleotides) under uncultured Bacteroidales bacterium. Its description in RNAcentral is "partial 16S ribosomal RNA". Lineage: Bacteria; Pseudomonadati; Bacteroidota; Bacteroidia; Bacteroidales. The record is from RNAcentral.
GGAGUUUGGUCCGUGUCUCAGUACCAAUGUGGGGGACCUUCCUCUCAGAACCCCUAUGGAUCGUCGCCUUGGUGGGCCGUUGCCCCGCCAACUAGCUAAUCCAACGCAUGUCCAUCCAUGAGCAAUGAAUCUUUAACCACUAAAUGAUGUCACAAAAUGGUGUCAUGGGGUAUUAAUCCGGUUUUCACCGGGCUAUCCCCCACUCAUGGGCAGGUUACAUACGCGUUACUCACCCGUGCGCCGCUCGCCACCCGAGGUGCUGCCGCUCGACUUGCAUGUGUUAGGCCUGUCGCUAGCGUUCAUC